AGCAGAACAUGCAUUUUUGACCUUGUCUUACUAAUAAUUUUAUUUUGCAGGAGGAAGAGGAAGAAACAAAAGUAACUUCUCUCCUAGAUUUAAUUCUGACCUACCAGGAAGAACUGGUUGUUGAAGCCGAAGUACUGGAGUCUCUGGAGCCAAUCUGGAUUUUGUCUGGAAACUCAAGUGUAAGACCUAGCGCCACCUGCCAAGGACCUCUGCUUUGCCUCGGUAGGCCAAGAAUUACACACAAUGGAAAAGCAGCGCCGUGGAGCUGGAUGAAUCCUGAGCCCAACCUGUGCCUCCGGUCUUGGGGCGUGCGGGGGAAACAGCAGCCUCC
This 331-nucleotide long non-coding RNA is filed under the name Macaca mulatta (Rhesus monkey). RNAcentral describes it as "lncRNA (ENSMMUG00000056581.1)". Lineage: Eukaryota; Metazoa; Chordata; Mammalia; Primates; Cercopithecidae. The record is from RNAcentral.